Molecule: long non-coding RNA, 697 nt
Filed under: Hordeum vulgare
Lineage: Eukaryota; Viridiplantae; Streptophyta; Magnoliopsida; Poales; Poaceae
Description: long non-coding RNA (HVUL_LNC005550)
Source: RNAcentral
UACGGUACUAUCAAAGAUGACAAACACAUCAGCCAUCAGGUAAUAUGGUUUGACCCAAUAAUAAGCUAAUAGAAGGUGAGAAAGCACAAAUGGAGUGUUCGUAAGCAUAGAAAGCUAUGGUAUACUAGAGAACCCACCGUGAAUGAUCAAACUCCGUCUUGCUUCAAGAGAUGGUUUUCGACUCUCAGAAGGUCAGAAUGCUGAAGCUCUGAACAGUGCAACAUGAUGCCCUGGAGACACUCAGGACAACUCUUCGCGGGCCAUAGGUUCCAUCUUCGAAAUUCAAUCCUGUAGUGUAAGAAGUUCAAUGGCAAUAUAGUUUGCAGGAUAUUUCAGCAUAGGCAAAUCAGCUAACAGCAAACAUUUGUGGCAGAUACAUCAUCUGGGGUCCAUCACAGGUUAAACUGACACAGGUAACAGCCGUACUGGCAGCAUUAAGAGAAGUGAUGGGGCUCACAUGACCGGCAUCAUCAUGAGAACAAACUCCAAAAAAAGAAAGGCAUAAGUGUCUAAAGGAAUAGAUAAAUGAAAAUAAAAUCGGACUUCCCUUAGCAGACCCUGCCACUGAGACAAGGGACAUGUCAUGGAACUUAAGCAUAAACAAGUUACUUGUCUCAUAUCAAAUAGAUUGACUUACUAUCUGUUAUUCUAUAGUCCAUAGCUUCAAUCCAGAACUGUAUAAGCACAAUAUUCCCGC